This 434-nucleotide ribosomal RNA is filed under the name uncultured bacterium. RNAcentral describes it as "bacterial SSU rRNA". It matches the Rfam family "Bacterial small subunit ribosomal RNA", at positions 954 to 1392 of the family's 1533-position model. The record is from RNAcentral.
GCAGAACGCGAAGAACCUUACCAGGGCUUAAAUGCAGUCCGACAGGAUUGGAAACAGUCCUUUCUUCGGACGGAUUGCAAGGUGCUGCAUGGUUGUCGUCAGCUCGUGCCGUGAGGUGUCAGGUUAAGUCCUAUAACGAGCGCAACCCCUGCCGUUAGUUGCCAGCGAGUAAAGUCGGGAACUCUAGCGGGACUGCCGGUGCAAACCGUGAGGAAGGUGGGGAUGACGUCAAAUCAUCACGGCCCUUACGUCCUGGGCCACACACGUGCUACAAUGGCAGGUACAAUGGGCAGCCACUGCGCAAGCAGGCGCGAAUCCACAAAACCUGUCUCAGUUCGGAUCGGGGUCUGCAACUCGACCCCGUGAAGCUGGGAUCGCUAGUAAUCGGAUAUCAGCCAUGAUCCGGUGAAUACGUUCCCGGGUCUUACACACCG